Molecule: transfer RNA, 72 nt
Rfam family: tRNA
About the family: Transfer RNA (tRNA) molecules are approximately 80 nucleotides in length. Their secondary structure includes four short double-helical elements and three loops (D, anti-codon, and T loops). Further hydrogen bonds mediate the characteristic L-shaped molecular structure. tRNAs have two regions of fundamental functional importance: the anti-codon, which is responsible for specific mRNA codon recognition, and the 3' end, to which the tRNAs corresponding amino acid is attached (by aminoacyl-tRNA synthetases). tRNAs cope with the degeneracy of the genetic code in two manners: having more than one tRNA (with a specific anti-codon) for a particular amino acid; and 'wobble' base-pairing, i.e. permitting non-standard base-pairing at the 3rd anti-codon position.
Source: Rfam
GCCUCCUUAGCUCAGUGGUAGAGCACUCGCCUUGUAAGCGAAAGGUCGUCAGUUCAAUCCUGACAGGGGGCU